AUGGAUUUCUUGUGUAGGGUGAUAAACAGAUCAAUACUACAUGAAAGAAAUAUCGAUGGGUAUGAAACUUAUGUAGUGAAGCAUGCUCCUUUUAUAAUUUCAAAAUUAACAGAAUUUUACACUGGAACUUACACAGUUUGUUUUUUUUUUAGCAUAAGCUGGAAUUGUGCAAGGAUGGUUGGAAGAAAGCAGAGAUUUGGAGCACAAUGUCAGCACUUUAGGAAAGAAUUUAAGCAACAAGCCUAGAUGUCCCCAAGGUCUGUGUCUGUUCAGGGGCUGGCUGACUUUGAGCCAUUUGCUGACAAACAGAAUGCACAACGGUUCAGUUCUCCUGCCUCUCCCUUGGGUUUCACCUGCCUAGCACAAAACACAUAGAAAGGUAAUUAUCCUUAAUACCUCCACCAUAUUUUAACAUGUAGAUGAUACCAGAGUCCCACCUUAUGUAGUAAUUGACGGGAGAUGGGUUAAAAGGCAAAGAAACAGCUUAGGGAAGGAGUUGGAAAAAAAUCUCGGAUCAUCAUAAAUAUUGUAAUGUCAGCUAUUGUUCCUGUUGUUAAUUGAGAAUGUCAAGGAUUAUUAGGUGCCCAGGGAAUAAGAAUUGAUUCCUCAGAUUCCUGACUGUAGGAAAAACCCAACAACCCACUUUGCAAAUUCCUGAGAUUCUUGGAACAGAUUGUAGGAACAGCAGUGAAAAUGCUUACUAUAUAACUGCGUAGCGAUAUGAAAAGCUAUAAGUGCCAAUGGCUUGUGUUUGUCUUUUUGCAUGCCUGCCAAAGAUCAUUUUUCAUUUCAAGGACAUUACUGAAAAAUGUUGACUAUGAAUCUUAAGUCCCUACAGGUAUUGCUCGGAGGAACAGGCAGAGUAGGAAAGAAGUUUAACAGAAUCAGUUAAUGCCUUGGCUGUUACUCCUACAGAAAUUUAAGGAAUUUUGUAGUGGGAUGCAUGAAUCAUCUUAUCACCCUUUCAUAACAUUGCCAGACUGACCAAGAACUUGUUCCAAUAAAUAGAUUUUAUGUUGCUUAACUUUCA
Molecule: long non-coding RNA, 1030 nt
Filed under: Cyanistes caeruleus (blue tit)
Lineage: Eukaryota; Metazoa; Chordata; Aves; Passeriformes; Paridae
Description: lncRNA (ENSCCEG00000002379.1)
Source: RNAcentral